Long non-coding RNA from Nannospalax galili (Upper Galilee mountains blind mole rat), 948 nucleotides. RefSeq lists it as uncharacterized. The transcript is spliced from 5 exons. Lineage: Eukaryota; Metazoa; Chordata; Mammalia; Rodentia; Spalacidae. The record is from RefSeq and is a predicted model, not a curated record.
GGGAGCAGCAGGUCGGGGCGUCCCGGGGUGCCUGCCUGCUUCUGACCCCCCAAAGCGGGGCAGGACCCUGGCUCCAGGGUGUGUGCUCCGAGCCGGCCCUCCCUACCCCGAGCUUCUGCUGCCCUAAAGGUCCCGGCGAUACGGGCAAGAGGGCAAGUCACAGGUCACUGCGAGUCCACGCGAUAGCGUCAGCAAAGAGCGAGCUUUGCAGGAGGGAAAACGCCGAGAAGCUUGCCCUGGGGAAGUCACGUUUGUAGAGUCUAAGUACAGAGAUCGACCCUGAACCAACAUUGAUUUCUGACACCUUGUGGGUGUCCACAUCUUCCUGACUUCUUGGAGAAAGAAGGGAUUUUCCCAGAUGCCAAUGAGAGACUGGACCAUCUGCAACCAGCCCCAGUCCAGAUGAUACAGUUGGAGCCUACCCACAGCAUCCUCUCCGCCUUCAGACAGUUCCAGGAACCAGAGUGUGUCAAGUUGAUAACUGAGAUUAACCACCACACAUGAAAAAUGUUCUUGCCUGUAAUGUGCACGUCAAAGUGGACAACCAUGUGGACAUUUUGCAGGUGAAGCCUGAAGCUUUGCACGUGGCACCCAUCCAGGAAUGCCUGCUGACUGACUGGAAAACUACAUUGGUGGGCUGGAACAAGACAGAGCCCUGGAGUCUCAGAGACAAGGAGCUCUUAUUCCUUCUGUGAUGGUGCUGGAAGACCUGGCUUUUAUUCUGGAAACUUCUGGGUAUAGGAGUCUUUUCUGCCUCAGGGUAGACUCUACCUUCCUGGGACAAACUAGUGAGAGACAGGUACUUCACUUUCUAGGCUACAGAGUAGCCUCUGGGUCUGCCAUGCCCAACUGAUGUUUAUAGUAAUGGAGCAGGGUGAGUGGGCCAUAGGUUCUCAAGGUUUGCCACGAAUUAGUCUUGGUUAGGAACAUUUGACAAGUGUGGAUUUU